Molecule: ribosomal RNA, 500 nt
Filed under: uncultured bacterium
Lineage: Bacteria
Description: partial 16S ribosomal RNA
Rfam family: Bacterial small subunit ribosomal RNA
Source: RNAcentral
AUUGAACGCUGGCGGCAUGCCUUACACAUGCAAGUCGAACGGCAGCACGGAGCUUGCUCUGGUGGCGAGUGGCGAACGGGUGAGUAAUAUAUCGGAACGUACCCAAGAGUGGGGGAUAACGUAGCGAAAGUUACGCUAAUACCGCAUACGAUCUAAGGAUGAAAGCAGGGGACCGCAAGGCCUUGUGCUCCUGGAGCGGCCGAUAUCUGAUUAGCUAGUUGGUGAGGUAAAGGCUCACCAAGGCAUCGAUCAGUAGCUGGUCUGAGAGGACGACCAGCCACACUGGAACUGAGACACGGUCCAGACUCCUACGGGAGGCAGCAGUGGGGAAUUUUGGACAAUGGGGGCAACCCUGAUCCAGCAAUGCCGCGUGAGUGAAGAAGGCCUUCGGGUUGUAAAGCCCUUUUGUCAGGGAAGAAACGGUGAAGGCUAAUAUCCUUUGCUAAUGACGGUACCUGAAGAAUAAGCACCGGCUAACUACGUGCCAGCCGCCGCGGUAA